GACGAACGCUGGCGGCGUGCUUAACACAUGCAAGUCGAACGGAAAGGCCCCUUUGGGGGUACUCGAGUGGCGAACGGGUGAGUAACACGUGAGUAACCUGCCCUUGACUUCGGGAUAACUUCAGGAAACUGGGGCUAAUACCGGAUAGGAAUCCUUGCUGCAUGGUGGGGGUUGGAAAGCUUCGGCGGUUUUGGAUGGACUCGCGGCUUAUCAGCUUGUUGGUGGGGUAGUGGCUUACCAAGGCUUUGACGGGUAGCCGGCCUGAGAGGGCGACCGGCCACAUGGGGAUUGAGAACGGCCCAAGACUCCACGGGGGGGCGGAAGGGGGAAUAUUUGCACAAGGGGGGGAGGCCUGAUGCAGCACCCCGGGGGGGGGGAUAGGGGCCUUGGGGUUGAAACCCGUUUGGAGCGGGGGGGAAGCUUGUGGUGACGUUCCCGGAAGAAGAAGCACCGCCUAACUACGUC
This 465-nucleotide ribosomal RNA is filed under the name uncultured bacterium. RNAcentral's name for it is "partial 16S ribosomal RNA". It matches the Rfam family "Bacterial small subunit ribosomal RNA", at positions 28 to 507 of the family's 1533-position model. The record is from RNAcentral.